Non-coding RNA from Cucumis sativus (cucumber), 106 nucleotides. The record is from Rfam. Lineage: Eukaryota; Viridiplantae; Streptophyta; Magnoliopsida; Cucurbitales; Cucurbitaceae.
GUUGCCGGUUCGAGGACAUCCGAUUAAAUUGGAAUGAUACAAAGAAGAUUAUCAUGAUCCUUAUGCAAGGAUGACAAACACAAAUCAAGAAAUGGUCAAAAAAUGG